Catharus ustulatus (Swainson's thrush) is the source of this 311-nucleotide long non-coding RNA. RefSeq lists it as uncharacterized. The transcript has 2 exons. Lineage: Eukaryota; Metazoa; Chordata; Aves; Passeriformes; Turdidae. The record is from RefSeq and is a predicted model, not a curated record.
UUGGACGCUAGUCCUCAGACCCCAGGGCCCUCAAUAAAGCACCGCACUAAACAACCUAGUUGUUUCGUGUCUCUCUGUCGGGCAACAGUUUUCUGGCGACCGCGGCAGGACUCCGAGGGCUGCUGGGGCGGUUCGCGUCCUGAUCCACUCCACGCCGGCACCGAGUGAUUCUCGGGGAGUCAUCGGUUCGUGCCCGACCCCGCGCCUGUCGGACAACUGCAGGAGUCCUUACAGCGCUGCGAGGAGCAUUGCAGUGGAACCGGCCUCUGCCCUUGGAAAAUCCUGUCCAUGACAUCCAGCCAGGAGAUCAA